UACGUAGGUGGCAAGCGUUGUCCGGAUUUACUGGGCGUAAAGAGCGCGCAGGCGGUCGUUCAAGUCGCGUGUGAAAGCUCCCGGCUUAACUGGGAGAGGUCAACGGAAACUGUCGAGCUAGAGUGCGGUAGAGGUAGCUGGAAUUCCCGGUGUAGCGGUGAAAUGCGUAGAUAUCGGGAGGAAUACCUAUGGCGAAAGCAGGCUACUGGACCGUCACUGACUCUGAUCUGCGAAAGCUAGGGGAGCAAACAGG
This 253-nucleotide ribosomal RNA is filed under the name uncultured bacterium. Its description in RNAcentral is "partial 16S ribosomal RNA". It matches the Rfam family "Bacterial small subunit ribosomal RNA", at positions 524 to 776 of the family's 1533-position model. The record is from RNAcentral.